GAUGAACGCUGGCGGCGUGCCUAAUACAUGCAAGUCGAACGCAUUGAGAGAAGUGCUUGCACUUUUCAAUUUGAGUGGCGAACGGGUGAGUAACACGUGGGCAACCUACCUGAUAGCGGGGGAUAACGAGUGGAAACAUUCGCUAAUACCGCAUAACAAUAGAGAAGGCAUCUUCUUUAUUUAAAAGGCGCUUUCAAGCGUCACUAUCAGAUGGGCCCGCGGUGCAUUAGUUAGUUGGUGGGGUGAAGGCCUACCAAGACGAUGAUGCAUAGCCGGGUUGAGAGACUGAUCGGCCACAUUGGGACUGAGACACGGCCCAAACUCCCACGGGAGGCUGCAGUAGGGAAUCUUCCACAAUGGACGAAAGUCCGAUGGAGCAACGCCGCGUGUGUGAUGAAGGCUUUCGGGUCGUAAAGCACUGUUGUAUGGGAAGAAAUGCUAGACUAGGAAAUGAGCUUAGUUUGACGGUACCAUACCAGAAAGGGACGGCUAAAUACGUGCCAGCAGCCGCCGUAA
RNAcentral lists this ribosomal RNA (516 nucleotides) under uncultured bacterium. RNAcentral's name for it is "partial 16S ribosomal RNA". It matches the Rfam family "Bacterial small subunit ribosomal RNA", at positions 28 to 523 of the family's 1533-position model. The record is from RNAcentral.